GAAAGAUGGCUUUGGCUAUCACUCUGGGAUGGACCUGCGGUGCAUUAGCUAGUUGGUAAGGUAACGGCUUACCAAGGCGAUGAUGCAUAGCCGAGUUGAGAGACUGAUCGGCCACAAUGGAACUGAGACACGGUCCAUACCCCUACGGGAGGCAGCAGUAGGGAAUCUUCCACAAUGGGCGCAAGCCUGAUGGAGCAACACCGCGUGAGUGAAGAAGGGUUUCGGCUCGUAAAGCUCUGUUGUUGGAGAAGAACGUGCGUGAGAGUAACUGUUCACGCAGUGACGGUAUCCAACCAGAAAGUCACGGCUAACUACGUGCCAGCAGCCGCGGUAAUACGUAGGUGGCAAGCGUUAUCCGGAUUUAUUGGGCGUAAAGCGAGCGCAGGCGGUUGCUUAGGUCUGAUGUGAAAGCCUUCGGCUUAACCGAAGAAGUGCAUCGGAAACCGGGCGACUUGAGUGCAGAAGAGGACAGUGGAACUCCAUGUGUAGCGGUGGAAUGCGUAGAUAUAUGGAAGAACACCAGUGGCGAAGGCGGCUGUCUGGUCUGCAACUGACGCUGAGGCUCGAAAGCAUGGGUAGCGAACAGGAUUAGAUACCCUGGUAGUCCAUGCCGUAAACGAUGAGUGCUAGGUGUUGGAGGGUUUCCGCCCUUCA
Molecule: ribosomal RNA, 654 nt
Filed under: uncultured bacterium
Lineage: Bacteria
Description: bacterial SSU rRNA
Rfam family: Bacterial small subunit ribosomal RNA
Source: RNAcentral